RNAcentral lists this long non-coding RNA (2260 nucleotides) under Spirodela polyrhiza (greater duckweed). RNAcentral describes it as "long non-coding RNA (SPOL_LNC002021)". Lineage: Eukaryota; Viridiplantae; Streptophyta; Magnoliopsida; Alismatales; Araceae. The record is from RNAcentral.
AGAGAGAGAGAGAGAGAGAGAGAGGGGCGCAGUUGGGGGAGGCUUCUCGGCGAAGGCGCGAAGUCGUCGUCGUCUACGACGCAGUUAAGGUCGUGGCCGUUUUAAACCGUUAGAUUGGGGAGCCCAAUCGAGCCACCGAUUGGAUGUGGGCCACCGUCUGAUCGGUGGUCCCUCCACCGUCCGUGGAUCUCUCUGGGACCUUAGGUACCACGACUGAUAGGGGCGUCCGUCGCCGCCGUGGUCUCCGCCGCCGCCGCCGCCGCCGCCAGGGAAGGCACAGAGGAGCGAGAGGCGCCGCUCCUUUUCUCUCCUCCCGCGAUGGGGAUGAAGAAGCCGUUCGCUGAUGCCGUUGGCCGUCUCGAAGAGAGGUAAGAUGUGAUCGAUAUUGAUUCUCGAGAUUUCUCGCCGGCCGAUGCGUCGAAGCUUGGGGUUAUUUGGGGCCGUAGAUCUCCUCAGUGGCGUCGAUUGACCUUGUUCUUCUCUGAAACUUGGAUCUCCGCCGGUGAAUCCAUACCUCACAGUCGCUCAAACUUCGUGCGAGGUCGGGACUGGGAUGCUAUUCUUCGGAAGAGAAUUGCAAAAUGUUCCCAUAAUUCCCGCCGACGGAAGUCGACUGCGAUGGGACUCUGGUUCUUCAGUAUCGCAGGGAUGAACAUCUAUCUAAAAAGUUUGAGAUCUCCUCUCUGGCGCAGAUAAACUUUGUUCUUCUCCGAGAUUUGAAUCUCCGCCGGCGAAUUCAUACCUCACAGUCGCCCAAUCUUCCGUGCUAGGCCGGGAAUGGGAUGGCAUUCCCGCCGACGGAAGUCGUCUGGGAUGGGAAAUUAGAUUGGCCUAGUUCUUCUCUGAGACGCGGACUGAUGUUCCUAUGAGGAGAACUCGAAAAUAUGAUGUGAAAUCCCGCCAAUGGAAGUCAUCUACGAUGGAGCUAGGCUCGUCAGCUUCUCUGGAAUGAAAGAUCUCAUGAAUUGACAGUACUCCCUGCCCAACAAUCCUAUCGCAGGAAGGUAGAUCUACAUGGUCCUGAGAAUCUCUGGCUCUGGCAUACCACUCUGUAGGAUUCUUGUAGCCCGCCCCCCAACCACUCUGUUCCAUAGAUGGGAAAUUAGAUUGGCCUAGUUCUUCUCUGAAACAAUUUAAACCUUGAUUUUAGAAGAAGAAUUGGAAAGGAAAGUUACUUUUUCAUGAAUCAAGUAUUCACAGAAACAAAGCACGGCGUGAGGCUGGAAACCUCAACCAGAUAUGACACUGAUCACGUCGAACACCAAGGGCAGCAACACAGAUUAAUAGAGAAUUAGCUCCGUUAUUCUUCAUGGGUGGUGGAGAUCGCACCUGCCGCUCCAACGCCAAAAUCCCCAGGGGUCAAUAUGACAGGAGGAUGGAUUCUAUGAGGUCGUGAAGUGGUGCAAGCUCCCCCUUUUCGAUUAAACGGAAUUCCUGCACAGAGAGAACAGGUUCUUAUGCCUUGAUCACCAACCCUAAGGCCAAUCAUUCCGAUUUUUUUUUUCUAUGUAUUAUCAUUGGCCUGCUGAAUUCCACACCUCAGAUACAUUUAAUACUAUGGAUGUUCUCAAUGAUGAUUCUAUCUUAAUAAAGCCCACACUUUGCCAUGCUCUUGCAAAUGCGAAGCAGCAUUAGGAACAUAUUCAUGUGUCCCGAUUCAUCUCCACUGUGUCUUAAACUUAGUUGCUGCUGGUGUUUUAUCUGUUAUGGUAUAUGAAUUAGAGAGUGGUGGAGGAUUGGAAAAGGGGAUUAGAUUUAUUUCUCCAGCUUAGGAUGGAGGGAGACUGAAACUGUUCGAGAGAAGAAUAUGCUCUCCAGGCAAACUAUGAUUUCGAGCUUGGAGAAGAGGAGAUGAUCAAGGAAAUGCAUAGCAUGAACUGAACCGCCAUUGAAUGGAAAAAGCUCUCUCACUGAUAGGUAUAGAUAGCACUUCGAGCUAGCUGCUCCAGGGCGAGGCAGAAAAAUGUGGAACAGGGAAAAUAAUCAUGGGCACAUUAAAGACAUAUUUUAGAAUCCAUCGUACGAAUUCAAUGAAAAAAAGAACAAAUUAGGAACGGUGGAGAUAUAAAUCGAACAGCUAUUUUAUUCUAUUGAUUUUGUUUUUUAUUUUCUGCAGCGUCUUCACCACCUCCAAGAUGGGAAGAUCACCACCACUUUCUUUGAAGCGAGGAUGGAGCUGACUUACCCACGUAAACAGGGUGAAAUGUUUGAAGCAGGUAUUGAGAUGAGCUUCCUCCUUGAGGCUGACAAUCUUCUGAAA